AAAAAUUGGCAUUUUUGCACCAAAGGGAGAUAAUUUGGAGCUUUUUCAAUGAUAUAAACAUUUUAAAAGUCAUCUGGGGCCAAACCGAAUCGAUUUUUUGGGUUGAUUUUUUUUACCAUAUCAUAAAGUAAUAACUAAUAGUGUAAUAAAUAAAAUUUGUAAUGAAAAAAUAAAGGUUCAUUUUUUUUGCAGAAAUUUUUGUACCCACGAGCCACCUUAA
This 220-nucleotide long non-coding RNA is filed under the name Mytilus galloprovincialis (Mediterranean mussel). Lineage: Eukaryota; Metazoa; Mollusca; Bivalvia; Mytilida; Mytilidae. The record is from RNAcentral.